UGUAAACCUCUUUCAGCAGGGAAGAAGCCACAAGUGACGGUACCUGCAGAAGAAGCGCCGGCUAACUACGUGCCAGCAGCCGCGGUAAUACGUAGGGCGCAAGCGUUGUCCGGAAUUAUUGGGCGUAAAGAGCUCGUAGGCGGUUUGUCGCGUCUGCUGUGAAAGCCCGGGGCUUAACCCCGGGUGUGCAGUGGGUACGGGCAGACUAGAGUGCAGUAGGGGAGACUGGAAUUCCUGGUGUAGCGGUGGAAUGCGCAGAUAUCAGGAGGAACACCGAUGGCGAAGGCAGGUCUCUGGGCUGUUACUGACGCUGAGGAGCGAAAGCAUGGGGAGCGAACAGGAUUAGAUACCCUGGUAGUCCAUGCCGUAAACGUUGGGCACUAGGUGUGGGGGACAUUCCACGUUUUCCGCGCCGUAGCUAACGCAUUAAGUGCCCCGCCUGGGGAGUACGGCCGCAAGGCUAAAACUCAAAGGAAUUGACGGGGGCCCGCACAAGCGGCGGAGCAUGCGGAUUAAUUCGAUGCAACGCGAAGAACCUUACCAAGGCUUGACAUAUACCGGAUCGUUCCAGAGAUGGUUCUUCCCCUUUGGGGUCGGUAUACAGGUGGUGCAUGGUUGUCGUCAGCUCGUGUCGUGAGAUGUUGGGUUAAGUCCCGCAACGAGCGCAACCCUCGUUCCAUGUUGCCAGCACGUGAUGGUGGGGACUCAUGGGAGACUGCCGGGGUCAACUCGGAGGAAGGUGGGGAUGACGUCAAAUCAUCAUGCCCCUUAUGUCUUGGGCUUCACGCAUGCUACAAUGGCCGGUACAAAGGGUUGCGAUACUGUGAGGUGGAGCUAAUCCCAAAAAGCCGGUCUCAGUUCGGAUUGAGGUCUGCAACUCGACCUCAUGAAGUCGGAGUCGCUAGUAAUC
Molecule: ribosomal RNA, 910 nt
Filed under: Kocuria palustris
Lineage: Bacteria; Bacillati; Actinomycetota; Actinomycetes; Micrococcales; Micrococcaceae
Description: bacterial SSU rRNA
Rfam family: Bacterial small subunit ribosomal RNA
Source: RNAcentral